Molecule: ribosomal RNA, 424 nt
Filed under: uncultured prokaryote
Description: bacterial SSU rRNA
Rfam family: Bacterial small subunit ribosomal RNA
Source: RNAcentral
UGGGGAAUAUUGGACAGUGGGCGCAAGCCUGAUCCAGCCAUGCCGCGUGAGUGAAGAAGGCCCUAGGGUUGUAAAGCUCUUUCAGUGGUGACGAUGAUGACGGUAGCCACAGAAGAAGCCCCGGCUAACUCCGUGCCAGCAGCCGCGGUAAUACGGAGGGGGCAAGCGUUGUUCGGAAUUACUGGGCGUAAAGGGCGCGUAGGCGGUCUGUUGCGUCAGGUGUGAAAGCCCCGGGCUCAACCUGGGAGGUGCACUUGAUACGGGCCGGCUGGAGACCGGGAGAGGAGUGUGGAAUUCCCAGUGUAGAGGUGAAAUUCGUAGAUAUUGGGAAGAACACCGGUGGCGAAGGCGGCACUCUGGCCCGGAUCUGACGCUGAGGCGCGAAAGCGUGGGUAGCGAACAGGAUUAGAUACCCCCGUAGUCC